GCAUUUGUGGUUCAGUGGUAGAAUUCUCAAUUUCCGUAUGGGAGACCCAGGUUUGAUUCCCAGCCAAUGCA
This 71-nucleotide transfer RNA is filed under the name Loxodonta africana (African savanna elephant). It matches the Rfam family "tRNA". From Rfam's summary of the family: Transfer RNA (tRNA) molecules are approximately 80 nucleotides in length. Their secondary structure includes four short double-helical elements and three loops (D, anti-codon, and T loops). Lineage: Eukaryota; Metazoa; Chordata; Mammalia; Proboscidea; Elephantidae. The record is from Rfam by way of RNAcentral.